Nicotiana tabacum (common tobacco) is the source of this 880-nucleotide non-coding RNA. The record is from RefSeq and is a predicted model, not a curated record. Lineage: Eukaryota; Viridiplantae; Streptophyta; Magnoliopsida; Solanales; Solanaceae.
CCGAUCUGAGCCAAUGCAAGGCCGAGCUCUAGAAGGCCAUGGAUGAAUGGAAGGCUCUGAAACUACUUUGCAGUUAGAAGAAGGAGGAACUCAAGGACCUUCAGGCAGACUUGGUCAAGGCUAGUAAAAAUGAGGCCGAGCUAGACAAGCAGCUGCAGCAAAAACUGGAGAUGAUGAGGCAGCUUCGAGGAGAGAUCAAUCAGGUAAAUGCCGACUGAUCGGUGGAAGGAAAAUAUGGACCGCCUGGCUGCGGAGAACGAGGCUGCGCUAGCCAAACUAGCAUCGACUGGGACCCAGCUCCGGGUUGCUAAAGAGAAAAAUUCGGCCCAGGUCAAGAGGAUUGACGAACUCGAGGUCAAACUUGCCGAAGCCAGAAUGAAGGUCGCUGAGGCCAGGGUAGAGGUCGAGAAGACGAAUGCCACGACUGAUAAACCGUUGCCGUGUACUUAAGGGAUGCUGAGGAUGCUCAAGCGGAGCUAAGGUAAGCCUCCACGUACUUAAGGGAUGCUGAGGAUGAUCAAGCGGAGCUAAGGUAAGCCUCCGACAGGGAAAAUAGAGUAAUGAUUUGUCCAAGUGCCAAUCCCGGAGGGAGACCCUCGAAGAAAUCCAUGCUCGAGGCUUCGAUCUCACUGAAGAUAUAACUCAAGCGAAGGUGCUUAAAAGCGAUGCCAGAUUCCUCGUCUCCUCCUCCUCUGAUGAUGAUGAUGAAAGCAGCUAAGGCGGGUCCAACAAUGAUGAGGAAGUUGCUCCUGAGGGAGAAACCAACCCCGAGCAUAGUUAGGAAUUUUUUCUCUCUUUUUGUAUUUUUCUUUUUGUAAGACCUCUUGUCGCUCCCUUAUACAUAUAUUUUUCAAGUAAUAAAAGAAAAAAUUUCCUUGAA